AGAGUUUGAUCCUGGCUCAGGAUGAACGCUGGCGGCGUGCCUAAUACAUGCAAGUCGAGCGAACGGACGAGAAGCUUGCUUCUCUGAUGUUAGCGGCGGACGGGUGAGUAACACGUGGAUAACCUACCUAUAAGACUGGGAUAACUUCGGGAAACCGGAGCUAAUACCGGAUAAUAUUUUGAACCGCAUGGUUCAAAAGUGAAAGACGGUCUUGCUGUCACUUAUAGAUGGAUCCGCGCUGCAUUAGCUAGUUGGUAAGGUAACGGCUUACCAAGGCAACGAUGCAUAGCCGACCUGAGAGGGUGAUCGGCCACACUGGAACUGAGACACGGUCCAGACUCCUACGGGAGGCAGCAGUAGGGAAUCUUCCGCAAUGGGCGAAAGCCUGACGGAGCAACGCCGCGUGAGUGAUGAAGGUCUUCGGAUCGUAAAACUCUGUUAUUAGGGAAGAACAUAUGUGUAAGUAACUGUGCACAUCUUGACGGUACCUAAUCAGAAAGCCACGGCUAACUACGUGCCAGCAGCCGCGGUAAUACGUAGGUGGCAAGCGUUAUCCGGAAUUAUUGGGCGUAAAGCGCGCGUAGGCGGUUUUUUUAAGUCUGAUGUGAAAGCCCACGGCUCAACCGUGGAGGGUCAUUGGAAACUGGAAAACUUGAGUGCAGAAGAGGAAAGUGGAAUUCCAUGUGUAGCGGUGAAAUGCGCAGAGAUAUGGAGGAACACCAGUGGCGAAGGCGACUUUCUGGUCUGUAACUGACGCUGAUGUGCGAAAGCGUGGGGAUCAAACAGGAUUAGAUACCCUGGUAGUCCACGCCGUAAACGAUGAGUGCUAAGUGUUAGGGGGUUUCCGCCCCUUAGUGCUGCAGCUAACGCAUUAAGCACUCCGCCUGGGGAGUACGACCGCAAGGUUGAAACUCAAAGGAAUUGACGGGGACCCGCACAAGCGGUGGAGCAUGUGGUUUAAUUCGAAGCAACGCGAAGAACCUUACCAAAUCUUGACAUCCUUUGACAACUCUAGAGAUAGAGCCUUCCCCUUCGGGGGACAAAGUGACAGGUGGUGCAUGGUUGUCGUCAGCUCGUGUCGUGAGAUGUUGGGUUAAGUCCCGCAACGAGCGCAACCCUUAAGCUUAGUUGCCAUCAUUAAGUUGGGCACUCUAAGUUGACUGCCGGUGACAAACCGGAGGAAGGUGGGGAUGACGUCAAAUCAUCAUGCCCCUUAUGAUUUGGGCUACACACGUGCUACAAUGGACAAUACAAAGGGCAGCGAAACCGCGAGGUCAAGCAAAUCCCAUAAAGUUGUUCUCAGUUCGGAUUGUAGUCUGCAACUCGACUACAUGAAGCUGGAAUCGCUAGUAAUCGUAGAUCAGCAUGCUACGGUGAAUACGUUCCCGGGUCUUGUACACACCGCCCGUCACACCACGAGAGUUUGUAACACCCGAAGCCGGUGGAGUAACCUUUUAGGAGCUAGCCGUCGAAGGUGGGACAAAUGAUUGGGGUGAAGUCGUAACAAGGUAGCCGUAUCGGAAGGUGCGGCUGGAUCACCU
RNAcentral lists this ribosomal RNA (1541 nucleotides) under Staphylococcus aureus. RNAcentral's name for it is "16S ribosomal RNA". It matches the Rfam family "Bacterial small subunit ribosomal RNA". RNAcentral also lists the same sequence under 1 other name. Lineage: Bacteria; Bacillati; Bacillota; Bacilli; Caryophanales; Staphylococcaceae. The record is from RNAcentral.